This 426-nucleotide long non-coding RNA is filed under the name Piliocolobus tephrosceles (Ugandan red Colobus). Its description in RNAcentral is "lncRNA (ENSPTEG00000018197.1)". Lineage: Eukaryota; Metazoa; Chordata; Mammalia; Primates; Cercopithecidae. The record is from RNAcentral.
AUGAAAAACGUUAUUUUUUUAUUAGCUUUUCUUUUUUUUUUUUCUUUUCAAGUAUGUCAUAUGUUAAAAAUGAAAAGUUUUGGGACUGAGUACAAGGGGUUCAUGUUUUUUCAAAUUGAUAGAGAUAUGAACGAACCUCCUUAUUAUGUUAUUAAUGUCCAUUAUACGGAAUCCAACUUAAGUGAAAAUUUAUUGAAUAAAAUAAACAACAACAGAAAUGUGGAAAAACAUAAAACACAAAAUUAUUUUAGAAAGGUUUAAUAUUGCAUGGAAAAUGCGAAAUUUUCAAAAAUUGUAUAUCGACACUAUCAUACACGCUUAUUCACUUAUAUACACAUACAUAUACACAUAUAUACACGUAUUACUUUUUUGUUAAAAAUAGAAUCUAAUCAGGAAUAAAUACUUUAUUAAUUAUGCGAAAAGACA